RNAcentral lists this ribosomal RNA (1092 nucleotides) under Triticum aestivum (bread wheat). RNAcentral's name for it is "partial small subunit ribosomal RNA". The record is from RNAcentral. Lineage: Eukaryota; Viridiplantae; Streptophyta; Magnoliopsida; Poales; Poaceae.
AUGGCGGGUUUGCCCAGGAAACUCAUGGGUCUGCUGCUCCCCCUAUUCUUCGCCUUCUGUGUCGUUUGGGAGUUUGUCAUUCCGCUCACCACCCUCUGGACAUGGCGUCUUGCGCUCGCCACGACCUUUGCUCAAGUGCACCAUCUACUCUCCCUACGCCUAUCUGUGACCUGCAUCCCUGCUUCAAUUGCGCUCUGGGCUACAUUUGUCCUAGCGAUAUUGGCUGUUGAAGUUUCCUUGGCGGUGGUAAUAGUUGACAUGGCCCUUGCUUGUAUAUUUUGUUUUGUCCCAUUUUCAUUGGGAAGGAUAAUUCUAUGGUCAACAUCAUGUCUCAGCUUUGGCAAUGUGGAUGAAGUCAAUUCUUACACUUCAACAACUUCUACCCUUCUAAUUGGAUAUGAACUUAUCUUUAAGGUGGGUGCAAGUUUUGCUGUGGUGCAUACUUAUCCGUACUUGAGGGGCGAGCGCCUUGUGGUCACAAUUUUCUUUAGAAGAUUGUAUGGUAUAUUCUUCAGAGGGAUCAUAAAAUUAACCAGAGUUGCCAAUAUUUCUCUUAAUAUCCUAUACAACGUGAUAAUAUACCCAUUGUUCUUCGGCUGGUCGCUUGAUAUCUGCACUUCAAAAAUGUUUGGUGCAACAAUGUCCCAGAGGUUUAAUUUUCUGAUUGCUUCAUCCUUUGCUUCUGCUGCCCUACAUUGGCUUAUUGGACGUUCCUUUUUGAAAAUACGCCCCAGAUUAUUCAGACUUCUUCACAAGAUAUUCGGGCCAGGAGUUGUCACUCCCUUUCUCCACUAUAACUUCUCCGAACCAUUCUACAAAUUUUAUUUAAAGAACCUUCUUGGUCUUUUUGUGGACACUUUCUUUGUUGCUCUGGUCAUUCUUGUCCCUAUCAAAAUUGCUGACCUUUUGGCACCAGAGGUGUUCCCACUAGAUAUCACCUACUUUGAUCAUCCUGCUAAGGGCACAUCAGUUUGGCAAGGGCCACUACUAAACUUUGCAGAGUUACUUUCUGCUGUUCAUCACAUGACGUAUCUCAUUGGCAAAACAGUCAUCUACCUUGGGCGUGUAAUGGAGAGGGUAGUGGGGUACUGA